GCAGACACAUUCCAGCCAAUCAGCAGCAGACCCUCCCUCCCAGACCCUCCCAACUCCUGGACAGCAUCCAUUUUGAAGCUGCAUUCUUAGUGAGCUGUCCAGGAGGUGGGAGGGUCUGGGAGGGAGGGUCUGCUGCUGAUUGGCUGGAAUGUGUCUG
Molecule: non-coding RNA, 157 nt
Organism: Pelobates cultripes (western spadefoot toad)
Lineage: Eukaryota; Metazoa; Chordata; Amphibia; Anura; Pelobatidae
Source: the annotation of a GenBank genome assembly